Molecule: non-coding RNA, 327 nt
Organism: Dipodomys ordii (Ord's kangaroo rat)
Lineage: Eukaryota; Metazoa; Chordata; Mammalia; Rodentia; Heteromyidae
Source: Rfam
GGAUGUGAGGGUGAUCUGGCUGCGACAUCUGUCACCUCAUUGAUCGCCAGGGUUGAUCCGGCUGAUCUGGCUGGCUAGGCAGGUGUCCCCUUCCUCCCUUGUCGCUCCACGUGCGUGCGUCCCUCCUGAAGCUGCGCUGUCGGUGAAGAGGACGACCCUCCCCGAUAGAGGAGGACCGGCCUUCGGUCAAGCGUAUAUGAGUAGCUUCGCCCCCCUGCUAGAACCUCCAAACAAGCUCUCAAGGAAUAUGGUUGCUAGCCUUGCUGACUUUUAUUUAAAAGAAAUAAUAAAGAAGGGCUGGGAAGGUGGCUCAGUGGUAGAGUGCUU